GCAGGUGAACAGACAGGAAGCUCAUCCUGGGAGUGGGAAUUGGUGCCAGCCCAGGGAAUAGUGGUCAUGAGGACUAAACCAUACGGUGAAUGUAAGAGGUCAGCAUACGCCUGGCACCUGCACAUAUUCAGACAACUUCCUUCCCUCCUCCUUCUUCCUCGUUCAACGGGACAUUAAACCUUGCCAGUUUGCCACUCAGAGGUUGCCAGGAUGGAAAAGAGGACUUGAUAUGAAGGCGCUGGAUGGGAGGCAGAAGACAAAAUUAUGUGCUGAUCCCUCUAAAAGGUGGAAUUUGGGAAAGCUACCACAUCCCUGGGAGACCGGGGCCUUGUGCCGAGAGCUGUUAAGUACCAGCGCGUGGAAAUGAUCUGCCAUCCAGUAGCUUCUCCUCCCACAGCCGUUCUCAUCAAGGCCUCUGGACAUCAGAAAGGCAGGCUCUUGCUUCAUCACAACUGGUGGGAGGGUGCCGGCUCCUGCUUUGCUGUUUGGAGCCUGUGUGACCUCUGAUUUCCUUGAGCCAGGGAACUGUGGGGUCCGAGAGGGAUGAAUGAAGGUGACUCAGCAUCAGUGGACCAUGCUGGGCCAUGUGGGGGCCUGCCCAGUGAAGCCAGGGUCCCUGCUCUCUGGCAUAGCUAGGCCACUAUGUGUAGCUUGAGUGGGUGCUUGAAGGCGGUGGGCAGUUCAAAGAACCAAAGCAUUACACACAUAGAUCACCACUGAGGAGCAAGGGGAGACACAGGAGCUUGUGCUUAGCGACACCCAGAGUGUCCCCGGCAGUGCCCCUGAGUGCAGCCCAGAGGUUGAAUGGAGCCCAGAAGGGAUUGCAAAUAAGCUGAGUGCUGCAAUCAGGAUCUAAGAGCAUCUCUGUUGUUUGUAGCAAAGACUAGAAUCUGACAAGAUGAAGUUUUACAGGGACAAAGAGGACAUCCUGCUUUGAGGCUAUGUCAGCAGGAUAAUGAAGAUCUGGGGGCUUUAGCAAAUAAGUCAGCUGAUACGUAGCAGCAAUGGGUUGGUAGGGGAGGUAUGGAUACCCAGGCAGCUAACUUCUGGGAUUUUGUCAUACAAAACAGGAGCCAAAGUAAGUGGAAGGUGGUUCUUCUUUGGGCAAGUCUGGUUCCAAGUGAAGAUUUAGGAGGGAUAUUGACAAAGUGGGCCAGUCCAGAGAUGGGCACACGAGGGGCCUUGAAACUUAUUUGAAAGGAGGGCCUGGGGCUGAUACUAGACAUUGAAAUCCAGGGAUAGGAAACUCCCUGUCUGAGAGGUCACCGUUUUUAGACAGCUGGGAAAACUCAGAUCUAAAGGCUGAAGGGCAUGGAAAAGCCUGAGAGACUCAGACUAGUGACAAAGAAGAACUUUCUAAACCCAUCAGAAUACCAGUGCCAAGGUUUCAUCUCCCUCGGGCUUCUAUUAAGAAUAUGAUACUCUCUUUCCUACACCUCCUUGAUACAACCACUAUGGAGGACUGUAUGGAGGCUCCUUUAAAAACUAAAACUAGAGUUACCAAGGGAAAAAAACUGAAGGUUGCUCAGUUGUCUAACUCUUUGCAAUCCCAUACACUGUAGC
Molecule: long non-coding RNA, 1563 nt
Organism: Bubalus bubalis (water buffalo)
Lineage: Eukaryota; Metazoa; Chordata; Mammalia; Artiodactyla; Bovidae
Exons: 4
Source: RefSeq, a predicted model, not a curated record